UUAAGCGACUAAGCGUACACGGUGGAUGCCCUGGCAGUCAGAGGCGAUGAAGGACGUGCUAAUCUGCGAAAAGCGCCGGCGAGGUGAUAUGAACCUUUGACCCGGCGAUGUCCGAAUGGGGAAACCCAGUGCAAUUCGUUGCACUAUCGUUAACUGAAUACAUAGGUUAACGAGGCGAACCGGGGGAACUGAAACAUCUAAGUACCCCGAGGAAAAGAAAUCAACCGAGAUUCCCCCAGUAGCGGCGAGCGAACGGGGAGCAGCCCAGAGUCUGAAUCAGCUUGUGUGUUAGUGGAAGCGUCUGGAAAGUCGCACGGUACAGGGUGACAGUCCCGUACACGAAAGCACACAGGUUGUGAACUCGAAGAGUAGGGCGGGACACGUGGUAUCCUGUCUGAAUAUGGGGGGACCAUCCUCCAAGGCUAAAUACUCCUGACUGACCGAUAGUGAACCAGUACCGUGAGGGAAAGGCGAAAAGAACCCCGGCGAGGGGAGUGAAAAAGAACCUGAAACCGUGUACGUACAAGCAGUGGGAGCACCUUCGUGGUGUGACUGCGUACCUUUUGUAUAAUGGGUCAGCGACUUAUAUUCUGUAGCAAGGUUAACCGUAUAGGGGAGCCGAAGGGAAACCGAGUCUUAACUGGGCGUUAAGUUGCAGGGUAUAGACCCGAAACCCGGUGAUCUAGCCAUGGGCAGGUUGAAGGUUGGGUAACACUAACUGGAGGACCGAACCGACUAAUGUUGAAAAAUUAGCGGAUGACUUGUGGCUGGGGGUGAAAGGCCAAUCAAACCGGGAGAUAGCUGGUUCUCCCCGAAAGCUAUUUAGGUAGCGCCUCGUGAACUCAUCUUCGGGGGUAGAGCACUGUUUCGGCUAGGGGGCCAUCCCGGCUUACCAACCCGAUGCAAACUACGAAUACCGAAGAAUGUUAUCACGGGAGACACACGGCGGGUGCUAACGUCCGUCGUGAAGAGGGAAACAACCCAGACCGCCAGCUAAGGUCCCAAAGUCAUGGUUAAGUGGGAAACGAUGUGGGAAGGCACAGACAGCCAGGAUGUUGGCUUAGAAGCAGCCAUCAUUUAAAGAAAGCGUAAUAGCUCACUGGUCGAGUCGGCCUGCGCGGAAGAUGUAACGGGGCUAAACCAUGCACCGAAGCUGCGGCAGCGACGCUUAUGCGUUGUUGGGUAGGGGAGCGUUCUGUAAGCCGUUGAAGGUGUGCUGUGAGGCAUGCUGGAGGUAUCAGAAGUGCGAAUGCUGACAUAAGUAACGAUAAAGCGGGUGAAAAGCCCGCUCGCCGGAAGACCAAGGGUUCCUGUCCAACGUUAAUCGGGGCAGGGUGAGUCGACCCCUAAGGCGAGGCCGAAAGGCGUAGUCGAUGGGAAACAGGUUAAUAUUCCUGUACUUGGUGUUACUGCGAAGGGGGGACGGAGAAGGCUAUGUUAGCCGGGCGACGGUUGUCCCGGUUUAAGCAUGUAGGCGGAGGUUCCAGGUAAAUCCGGUACCUUUUAACGCUGAGGUGUGAUGACGAGGCACUACGGUGCUGAAGUAACAAAUGCCCUGCUUCCAGGAAAAGCCUCUAAGCAUCAGGUAACACGAAAUCGUACCCCAAACCGACACAGGUGGUCAGGUAGAGAAUACCAAGGCGCUUGAGAGAACUCGGGUGAAGGAACUAGGCAAAAUGGUGCCGUAACUUCGGGAGAAGGCACGCUGAUAUGUAGGUGAAGCCCCUGCGGGUGGAGCUGAAAUCAGUCGAAGAUACCAGCUGGCUGCAACUGUUUAUUAAAAACACAGCACUGUGCAAACACGAAAGUGGACGUAUACGGUGUGACGCCUGCCCGGUGCCGGAAGGUUAAUUGAUGGGGUUAGCGGCAACGCGAAGCUCUUGAUCGAAGCCCCGGUAAACGGCGGCCGUAACUAUAACGGUCCUAAGGUAGCGAAAUUCCUUGUCGGGUAAGUUCCGACCUGCACGAAUGGCGUAAUGAUGGCCAGGCUGUCUCCACCCGAGACUCAGUGAAAUUGAACUCGCUGUGAAGAUGCAGUGUACCCGCGGCAAGACGGAAAGACCCCGUGAACCUUUACUAUAGCUUGACACUGAACACUGGUCCUUGAUGUGUAGGAUAGGUGGGAGGCUUUGAAGCGUGGACGCCAGUCUGCGUGGAGCCAACCUUGAAAUACCACCCUUUAAUGGCUGGUGUUCUAACGUAGACCCGUAAUCCGGGUUGCGGACAGUGUCUGGUGGGUAGUUUGACUGGGGCGGUCUCCUCCCAAAGAGUAACGGAGGAGCACGAAGGUUAGCUAAUCCUGGUCGGACAUCAGGAGGUUAGUGCAAUGGCAUAAGCUAGCUUGACUGCGAGAGUGACGGCUCGAGCAGGUGCGAAAGCAGGUCAUAGUGAUCCGGUGGUUCUGAAUGGAAGGGCCAUCGCUCAACGGAUAAAAGGUACUCCGGGGAUAACAGGCUGAUACCGCCCAAGAGUUCAUAUCGACGGCGGUGUUUGGCACCUCGAUGUCGGCUCAUCACAUCCUGGGGCUGAAGUAGGUCCCAAGGGUAUGGCUGUUCGCCAUUUAAAGUGGUACGCGAGCUGGGUUUAGAACGUCGUGAGACAGUUCGGUCCCUAUCUGCCGUGGGCGCUGGAGAAUUGAGGGGGGCUGCUCCUAGUACGAGAGGACCGGAGUGGACGCAUCACUGGUGUUCGGGUUGUCAUGCCAAUGGCACUGCCCGGUAGCUAAAUGCGGAAAAGAUAAGUGCUGAAAGCAUCUAAGCACGAAACUUGCCCCGAGAUGAGUUCUCCCUGACCCUUUAAGGGUCCUGAAGGAACGUUGAAGACUACGACGUUGAUAGGUCGGGUGUGUAAGCGCAGCGAUGCGUUGAGCUAACCGAUACUAAUGAACCGUGAGGCUUAACCUU
This 2903-nucleotide ribosomal RNA is filed under the name Enterobacter sp. HK169. Its description in RNAcentral is "bacterial LSU rRNA". It matches the Rfam family "Bacterial large subunit ribosomal RNA". Lineage: Bacteria; Pseudomonadati; Pseudomonadota; Gammaproteobacteria; Enterobacterales; Enterobacteriaceae. The record is from RNAcentral.